Molecule: unclassified non-coding RNA, 257 nt
Filed under: Hevea brasiliensis (rubber tree)
Lineage: Eukaryota; Viridiplantae; Streptophyta; Magnoliopsida; Malpighiales; Euphorbiaceae
Source: RNAcentral
GGUUUAGUAUUUUCUUAUUUUGAGCUUAUCAUGACUAUUACUGACAAUUGAGAAUUUAAUAGAAGUUUUGAGAAUUUUUGUUCCUUUUAUCUUUAGGUGUUAAUGUUAUUAGUCCUACAUCAAUUUUAUAUCAAAGCGAGCUAGACCAAGAUUUCUCAAUCCCUCCCUUGACCGUGUCCAUGUAGCUGUUUUACAUUCACCAAACAAAUUCAGUUGAUUACAUUUUGUUGAUUUCUCGGAAUCCAAUAGCAUGAUUU